This 470-nucleotide ribosomal RNA is filed under the name uncultured bacterium. RNAcentral's name for it is "bacterial SSU rRNA". It matches the Rfam family "Bacterial small subunit ribosomal RNA", at positions 28 to 512 of the family's 1533-position model. The record is from RNAcentral.
GACGAACGCUGGCGGCGUGCUUAACACAUGCAAGUCACGGGGCUCGCAAGGCAACCGGCGAACGGGUGCGUAACACGUGAGCAACCUGCCGAUCUGAGGGGGAUAGCCGGCCCAACGGCCGGGUAAUACCGCAUACGCUUGUGUGGCCUCAUGGCUAGACAAGGAAACCUCCGGGGCAGAUCGAGGGGCUCGCGGCCUAUCAGCUAGUUGGCGGUGUAAUGGACCACCAAGGCGACGACGGGUAGCUGGUCUGAGAGGAUGGCCAGCCACAUUGGGACUGAGAGACGGCCCAGACUCCUACGGGAGGCAGCAGUGGGGAAUCUUGCGCAAUGGCCGAAAGGCUGACGCAGCGACGCCGCGUGUGGGAUGAAGCAUUUCGGUGUGUAAACCACUGUUGCCCGGGACGAACAUCCUCUUUCGAGAGGACUGACGGUACCGGGUGAGGAAGCACCGGCUAACUCCGUGCCAGC